CUUCACAAACAAGCAUAGAGAACACCACACAUUCCCUGGGCAAGUCUCCUCCGAUCAGUCAGAGCAGGUCAGAGACCCUCAGGUGUUCCCCAGUGUACCCAAUGUGAACGGCACUUGGACAUCUGUAUGAGCAGUAGGCGCUGUGAUGCAUGUAAAGAGAAAGUAGACACAGGGCUGGGAAAGGGAUUACUGUGCCCUUGCAUGCGCUGAAUCCCAGGACCCUACUAGGGACCACAGAGGAAUGAAGAGAUGACAGAUGCAUGGACGCAGUGCAAAGGACCCGAGGUCAGGAAGAUGGAACCAACCAUGGUAAUAUUUGGUCCUCCUGGUGGCUGUUAGCGUGAAGAAGAGCUGACCGCAAUCUUCAGCCUUUGCUCUCAUAUGUUGAAGCUCAACCAACUGGGAGCUUUACCAGUCCUACCAUGGCCCAUCAAAUGAGGCAGUUUUGUAAUUUUCUUUAACAAAAUUAUUAUAGACCCUAAUAUC
Molecule: long non-coding RNA, 486 nt
Organism: Myodes glareolus (Bank vole)
Lineage: Eukaryota; Metazoa; Chordata; Mammalia; Rodentia; Cricetidae
Source: RefSeq, a predicted model, not a curated record